GACGAACGCUGGCGGCGUGCUUAACACAUGCAAGUCGAACGGACAGGCCCUGCUCUUGUGGGGUUCUCGUGAGCCGAACGGGGGAGUAACACGUGAGUAUCAUCUCCUUGACUUUGUGAUAACUUCAGGAAACUGGGGCUCAUAUCGCAUAUGAGCUCCUGCUCCAUGUUGGGCGUUGGAAAGUUUCGGCGGUUGGGGCUGGACUCGAGGCUUAUCCGCUGGAUUGUGGGGUAGUGGCUUACGAAGGCUUUGACUGAUAGCCGGCCUGGGAGGGUGACCGGCCACAUUGGGACUGAGAGAGGGCCCAGAAUGCAACGGGAGGCAGUAGGGGAGAAUAUGGCAGAAUGGGCGGAAGCCAGAUACAGCGACGCCGCGUGCGGGAUGACCGCCUACGGGUUAUAAACAGAUGUGGCCUGUAACGAAGCGUUAGUGACGGUAAUUGGUAAAGAAGCACCGGCUAACUACGUG
Molecule: ribosomal RNA, 468 nt
Filed under: uncultured bacterium
Lineage: Bacteria
Description: partial 16S ribosomal RNA
Rfam family: Bacterial small subunit ribosomal RNA
Source: RNAcentral